GCCAUAGAUUAGCUCAGUUGGUAGAGCACAAGACUCUUAAUCUCAGGGUUGUGGGUUGGAGCCCCUCACUGGGCA
Molecule: non-coding RNA, 75 nt
Organism: Podarcis lilfordi (Lilford's wall lizard)
Lineage: Eukaryota; Metazoa; Chordata; Lepidosauria; Squamata; Lacertidae
Source: the annotation of a GenBank genome assembly